This 421-nucleotide small RNA is filed under the name Drosophila pseudoobscura pseudoobscura. RNAcentral describes it as "GA32650". The record is from RNAcentral. Lineage: Eukaryota; Metazoa; Arthropoda; Insecta; Diptera; Drosophilidae.
UGUCAGUGUUUUAAUACAACAACAACCAAGUUAUGAAAAUAUAUAGUCAGCGAAAUAAUUAAAAAAUCUGAAAUUAUCUCCAAAAUAUCCUGCUCAUAUACUUAAGCCACCUCAAAAAAAAUGGUUAAAAAAGAUGACCUUUCUGCUUAAGAAAAGUGGAGCAACGCCUUGCUAUUGAGUCUACAGGACGUGCCCACUGUUGAGGGGUGAUUUUCCUUCAUUCUUCCUGUAAAAUUCGGCACAAAUCCUUUUAAUUGCUGUUUUUUUUUUGGGCAAUGACUUGGUUUAGAAUUCCCCACAAGUUCUCUAUAGGGUUCUGGUCGGAACUCUCCGGAGACCAUUACAAAACAUUGAUUCCCUCUUGGUUAAGCCACCACUUGAGUAUCCUGCAGCAAUGUAUCGGGUCGUUGUCCUGUUAAAA